This 957-nucleotide long non-coding RNA is filed under the name Elaeis guineensis (African oil palm). RNAcentral describes it as "long non-coding RNA (EGUI_LNC059397)". Lineage: Eukaryota; Viridiplantae; Streptophyta; Magnoliopsida; Arecales; Arecaceae. The record is from RNAcentral.
CAUUCAAAUAUGAUGUGUCUUUGAAUCGUCCAUGAAAUUAACUUUCGAUACAUAUUCUCAAGGUGUUAAGAAUUAGAGACAUAUAUUUGACUCUUAAAUACUUUCGAUCAUAGGAUCAUCAUGAGGAUGAUAAUCGAUCCGGAUAGACCGACGCACAGAUUGCUUCCUUCAGGAUAGAUGAAUCUCUAAUCUACAGUAUAGAAACACUAGACGAUGAAUGCAGAUAGUUGUUAGAGAACAAGUAGUACUGAGCGUGAUCAUACGAGAGAUCAUUUGAAUUUUUAUUCAAUCGUUAGUGAUUGUUUUGAUGCUGUAGUUGUGUGAAUGGUCUUUUGGCCUAAGAUGGUACUACUGCUCACAAUGAGGCUGCUGGAGUUUGACUGGCAUAUAAAUAUGGAUCUCAAUGAGCCCUUAUAGUGGAUGUUGACGACAGUUGGUCCACUGUAGGAGUAGGGUAUGCAUCAAGAUGGGAUCUAUUGACCUUGAUAGAGAGUAGUCCUAUGAGAUUUGAGAGGCUAAGUUCAAGAGUCUGUGGCCAAAGCAGUGUGAUUGAUGGAAAAUUUUUUUAAAAAAAUCACAAUUAGACUUGAGCUGAUCGAAUUUAUCAUAUGACUGAUGUUGAGAUUUGACUAUUUAUCCAUGAUCUACCAUCUGGUCGGAACUCACGAUAGAGAGACUGAAUCACACGUUAACUACAUCUUGAGAUUCAUUUCAAUUUUACUGGGUUGCCACUACAUACUGCUAGAUAUCACUGAUAGAUUGUGAGAGCUCACUAGGAUUGUUCUGGAUCGACAAUCCUUAAUGAGUUGGAAUGGAAUUGUUCUGAUCUAUUGAAAAGAGUUUCAAUGAUACUUUGGUAGAGAUCAUUGUAUAUCUCACUACCAGAUAGAAUUAACCUAUGGGGUCACACAAUAAAGAGAUUAGAUCUGAAAUAAGCAAUUGGACUUAUGAAGUGUC